This 322-nucleotide ribosomal RNA is filed under the name uncultured Sandonidae. RNAcentral's name for it is "SSU rRNA". It matches the Rfam family "Eukaryotic small subunit ribosomal RNA", at positions 626 to 955 of the family's 1831-position model. The record is from RNAcentral. Lineage: Eukaryota; Cercozoa; Glissomonadida; Viridiraptoridae.
GAUUUCUGGCGGAUCGAACUUGGCCGGCCACGGUUUCGUGUGUUAGUGCUUUGUUUUUUCGCCAUCCUUCCAAUGGCUAUUCAUCCUUCUUCAUUGAGGCGGUGAGUGGUAUUGGAUCUUUUACUUUGAAAAAAUUAGAGUGUUUAAAGCAGGCUUUUGCUAUGAAUACAUUAGCAUGGAAUAAUAAUCUAGGACUUCGGUUCUAUUUUGUUGGUUUCUAUAACUGAAGUAAUGAUUGAUAGGGAUAGUUGGGGGUGCUAGUAUUGGCCGGCCAGAGGUGAAAUUCUUGGAUUCGGUCAAGACUAACUUAUGCGAAAGCAUU